UGNNAGUCGACGGCAGCACGGGGGCAACCCUGGUGGCGAGUGGCGAACGGGUGAGUAAUAUAUCGGAACGUACCCUAGAGUGGGGGAUAACGUAGCGAAAGUUACGCUAAUACCGCAUACGAUCUACGGAUGAAAGCAGGGGACCGCAAGGCCUUGCGCUCAUGGAGCGGCCGAUAUCUGAUUAGCUAGUUGGUAGGGUAAAAGCCUACCAAGGCAUCGAUCAGUAGCUGGUCUGAGAGGACGACCAGCCACACUGGGACUGAGACACGGCCCAGACUCCUACGGGAGGCAGCAGUGGGGAAUUUUGGACAAUGGGCGAAAGCCUGAUCCAGCAAUGCCGCGUGUGUGAAGAAGGCCUUCGGGUUGUAAAGCACUUUUGGCGGGAACGAAACGGUUCGAUCUAAUACAUUGGACUAAUGACGGUACCCGCAGAAUAAGCACCGGCUAACUACGUGCCAGCAGCCGCGGUAAUACGUAGGGUGCAAGCGUUAAUCGGAAUUACUGGGCGUAAAGCGUGCGCAGGCGGUUAUGUAAGACAGAUGUGAAAUGCCCGGGCUCAACCUGGGAACUGCAUUUGUGACUGCAUGGCUAGAGUUUGGCAGAGGGGGGUAGAAUUCCACGUGUAGCAGUGAAAUGCGUAGAUAUGUGGAGGAAUACCGAUGGCGAAGGCAGCCCCCUGGGUCAAGACUGACGCUCAUGCACGAAAGCGUGGGGAGCAAACAGGAUUAGAUACCCUGNUAGUCCACGCCCUAAACGAUGUCUACUAGUUGUCGGGUCUUAAUUGACUUGGUAACGCAGCUAACGCGUGAAGUAGACCGCCUGGGGAGUACGGUCGCNAGAUUAAAACUCAAAGGAAUUGACGGGGACCCGCACAAGCGGUGGAUGAUGUGGAUUAAUUCGAUGCAACGCGAAAAANCNUUACCUACCCUUGAC
RNAcentral lists this ribosomal RNA (933 nucleotides) under uncultured bacterium. RNAcentral's name for it is "bacterial SSU rRNA". It matches the Rfam family "Bacterial small subunit ribosomal RNA", at positions 56 to 985 of the family's 1533-position model. The record is from RNAcentral.